CUCGUAGUUGGAUUUCUGUGGGGACGGAGCGGCCGGCCGCAACUCGCGGUUCGAGCUAGCGCUUUCCCUACAUCCUGCCGCGAACCGUGCUACCAUUAGUUUGGUGGCGCUGGGGAUCGGCUCGAUUACUUUGAGAAAAAUAGAGUGUUCAAAGCAGGCCACACGCCUUGAAUAAGUUAGCAUGGAAUAAUAACUAAGGACUUCGGUUCUAUUUUGUUGGUGUUCGGGACUGAAGUAAUGAUUGAUAGGGACAGUUGGGGCGGUCAGUAUUCCAAAGCGAGAGGUGAAAUUCUUAGACCUUCGGAAGACUAACAGCUGCGAAAGCGUUCCGCAAGGAUGUUCCCUUUGAUCAAGAACGAAGGUUGGGGGAUCGAAGACGAUCAGAUACCGUCGUAGUCUCAACUAUAAACUAUACCAGCUAGGGAUCGGCCAACGUUAUUUUAUACCGACUUGGUCGGCACCUUAUGAGAAAUCAAAGCAUCUGGGUUCCGGGGGGAGUAUGGUCGCAAGGCUGAAACUUAAAGGAAUUGACGGAAGGGCACCACCAGCCGUGGAGCCUGUGGCUUAAUUUGACUCAACACGGGAAAACUUACCAGGUCCAGACAUAGUAAGGAUUGACAGAUUGAUAGCUCUUUCUUGAUUCUGUGGGUGGUGGUGCAUGGCCGUUCUUAGUUGGUGGAGUGAUUUGUCUGGUUAAUUCCGUUAACGAACGAGACCCCAGCCUGCUAAAUAGCGCGAGUGAGCUUUGCUCGCUGCGAGCUUCUUAGAGGGACUAUGAUGCGCGAUAGCACAUGGAAGUUUGGGGCAAUAACAGGUCUGUGAUGCCCUUAGAUGUUCUGGGCCGCACACGGGCUACACUGGCGCCUGCAACGAGCAUAUCAGCUGGCCCGAGAGGGUCUUGGCUAAUCUUUUGAACCGGCGCCGUGCUUGGGAUUGACCUUUGCAAUUGUUGGUCAUGCAACGAGGAAUGCCUUGUAAACGCGAGUCAUCAACUCGCAUUGAAUACGUCCCUGCCCUUUGUACACACCGCCCGUCGCUCUACCGAUGAUGUUCCGAUGAAAUUUUCG
RNAcentral lists this ribosomal RNA (1067 nucleotides) under uncultured eukaryote. RNAcentral's name for it is "SSU rRNA". It matches the Rfam family "Eukaryotic small subunit ribosomal RNA", at positions 627 to 1712 of the family's 1831-position model. The record is from RNAcentral.